This 398-nucleotide ribosomal RNA is filed under the name uncultured bacterium. Its description in RNAcentral is "bacterial SSU rRNA". It matches the Rfam family "Bacterial small subunit ribosomal RNA", at positions 359 to 774 of the family's 1533-position model. The record is from RNAcentral.
GAAUAUUGCACAAUGGGGGAAACCCUGAUGCAGCAAUGCCGCGUGAGUGAUGACGGCCUUCGGGUUGUAAAGCUCUGUCUUCAGGGACGAUAAUGACGGUACCUGAGGAGGAAGCCACGGCUAACUACGUGCCAGCAGCCGCGGUAAUACGUAGGUGGCAAGCGUUGUCCGGAUUUACUGGGCGUAAAGGGAGCGUAGGCGGAUUUUUAAGUGAGAUGUGAAAUACCCGGGCUUAACUUGGGUGCUGCAUUUCAAACUGGAAGUCUAGAGUGCAGGAGAGGAGAAGGGAAUUCCUAGUGUAGCGGUGAAAUGCGUAGAGAUUAGGAAGAACACCAGUGGCGAAGGCGCUUCUCUGGACUGUAACUGACGCUGAGGCUCGAAAGCGUGGGGAGCAAACA